Lutra lutra (Eurasian river otter) is the source of this 1011-nucleotide long non-coding RNA. RefSeq lists it as uncharacterized. Lineage: Eukaryota; Metazoa; Chordata; Mammalia; Carnivora; Mustelidae. The transcript has 4 exons. The record is from RefSeq and is a predicted model, not a curated record.
CCCGAGCAGGAAAAUAAUAGGCAGGGCAGAUCACUCAGGGCUGGCGUAUCAGGAGCUGACAGCUUCGUCUAGCCAACCCAUUCCCAUUCCAGCAUGAGGAAUGCAAGGAAUCUAAGGGAGGCAGCAGAACACCUAAGAACUGUGCUGCUGCUGGACCGUGGAUCACACCUGGAGAGCCUGAAGAAAGCUUCCGCUGCUCUCUUCUGAGGUCCUCAGUUCAUUCAAGUUGCUGGGCCCGGUGGUAAAGACGAUGAAGAUUAUAGGCUAUUCGUCACCUCUACAUGUGGAAGGAAGAGAUUGUUUGGCAUGGCACUGAUCACUAUGUGUAUUAACGGGGAAGUUUAUCCCCAGGAGAAAAGAAAAAACCAGCUGUGUGAAUGGAACUUGGAGAAAGGGCACAACCAUCAGACGAAGUGGGAGGAAGAAACAUUAACUUCAACAGCUGUUUCUUGACCCCGGCUGUCAGUCUUCCCAAGAAUAAAUUUUGGAGAGUCCUAUUUGAAACAAAGAGGGAGUUUUUGAGGAGAGAAAAGUUGGUUGGUUCCAGGGAGGCCGCCCAAAGAAGCAGGGAACAAGAUGUUUGCAGUUACCACGCAGCCUGCAAGCCUCUGCCGGGUGCAGGGAUGGAGCAAAGUAACUUGAAAGCUCCCCUCUCGGCGCCCUGUGCCUACAGCUUCCCCCCCUAACGUGCGCCCAGAUCCAGCGCCGGUGGUAAGAGCCGUAGCUCGACUACAGUAAUUCCCCAGCUCGGGCGGCUUGAAACUGCUCGGGCUGAAUAGCAUUUGCUGUUCCGUCCUGCGGCCGCCUCCCGCCGCCGCUGCCGCGCUCCCUGCAAAGCAGCUCUCAUUAUCCCGGAAGUUGUGCUGACACAGUCUCGCUGCCACCAGAAGUUUGUCAACAUCAAACUUCUCCUGUGUGGGGUACGUUCACCUUCCACGAGUAUUUAAUCGAGCCAACAAGCAAACAAACAAACCCAAAUAAACCUGCCCGUGAUGUCAUGGUCUUUUUUUU